RNAcentral lists this transfer RNA (71 nucleotides) under Streptococcus agalactiae GB00663. Its description in RNAcentral is "tRNA-Gly". It matches the Rfam family "tRNA". Rfam says of the family: Transfer RNA (tRNA) molecules are approximately 80 nucleotides in length. Their secondary structure includes four short double-helical elements and three loops (D, anti-codon, and T loops). The record is from RNAcentral. Lineage: Bacteria; Bacillati; Bacillota; Bacilli; Lactobacillales; Streptococcaceae.
GCGGGUGUAGUUUAGUGGUAAAACUACAGCCUUCCAAGCUGUUGUCGCGAGGUCGAUUCUCGUCACCCGCU